This is a long non-coding RNA of Ictidomys tridecemlineatus (thirteen-lined ground squirrel), 1163 nucleotides long. RefSeq lists it as uncharacterized. Lineage: Eukaryota; Metazoa; Chordata; Mammalia; Rodentia; Sciuridae. The record is from RefSeq and is a predicted model, not a curated record.
UUGUGUUCAUGCUCAGCUAGUUGCCAUGGCAAAUGCUGGAAUAAAAGGCCUUGGCAAUAGGGUAGGUAAAGGUUCUGAUACAGCCAGUGUGGUCAGAAAACUUGGCUCUAUAUCUGUAACUGCGCAUCAGCUUCUGGAUUCCCCACUAGACGACAGAAAGAAAAUCAGGUCUUCAUCCAUAGAAGAUCAGCUCCAUUCUUCAAGGUUCGAGAUGUGAGGCUCAACAUGCUGGAGGAAGAGUGUGGAAGGGAAGCAGCUCACAUCAGGAAGCAGAGAGAGAAACUCUACUCUCCAGAUACAAAAAUAUAUACCCCAUAGCCACGCCACCAAUGAACCUCUUCCUCUAGUUAUCACUAAGUUAAUGCUGAUUAAUUCACUGAUUGGUUAAGACUCUCAUAAUCCAAUAAUUUCUCCUCUGAACCUUCUUGCAUUGCUCACAUGUGAGACAUUGGGGGACGCCUCAUAUCCACACCAUAACAAUAUCUGAGGAGGCUGAACUUCAGAUGAAUGAAUGGAUCUGGUGCUCUCUUAGUGAGGUCUCAGACUGUCCAACCCAAUGGAAAAGAACAAUGGUAGAUACAGUGUUCCACGUCUGGGAUAAUAGAAUAGAAUGAGUUCAGCCUCUCAUCCGUACAACCUCAGGAAGCCACACAUCCUUUCAUUUGUCAGCUCCUGCAUAACGGCUGCAGCAAUGUGUUAGUUUUUCUAAACAGAAUGACUCAGAAAGAUUGUUAAAGAAUAGGCAAAGAUGCAUCUGGCAACUGCAAAAACAAAGGCAAGCAGGCAUCACCUGAUUAAUACCAGGCAGCUCCUGAUUCAUGAAUAUCAGCUUUUAAUGGGACAGAGAUGAGUUAUCAUGAAGAACAGCACAAUUCACAAUGGCAGUAUAACCGUGAGCCUUUUUGAAAAACACCAUCUUUAUGUGAACAUGAAUCAAACACAAAACUCAGAACCAGGAAGGAAGAUGGCCUGUGAUCACUGGACAUGCAGCUCUCAUUGUGUCCUCUCGGUCCUCCACACAAUUGUGGCCCAGUGACCGUGAGCUCAGGCUCUGAAGAAGAAAGCCAAGCUCCACAUCCUAGAUCUUGAUUCUCACCUAUGUGACACUGCUCUAGAUAACUAAUUUUUCUUCCAUAUAAAUAAAGUGGGGAUGAUGAUCUCUA